This 431-nucleotide ribosomal RNA is filed under the name Arhopala aurea. RNAcentral describes it as "partial 12S small subunit ribosomal RNA". The record is from RNAcentral. Lineage: Eukaryota; Metazoa; Arthropoda; Insecta; Lepidoptera; Lycaenidae.
UCAUUCUAGAAACACUUUCCAGUACCUCUACUUUGUUACGACUUAUUCCAACUUUUAAAUGAAAGCGACGGGCAAUAUGUACAUAUUUUAAUUUUUAAUCAUUUUAUUAUAUUAAAAAAAUUACAUUUAAAUCCACCUUCAUAAUUAUUUUACAAAAAAAAAUCCAUUUAAAUAAAUUUAUUGUAAUCCAUCAUAUUCUUAAUUAUAUUCUACAUCUUGAUCUGAAUUAAUUUUUAUUUUUAAUUUUUAAAUAUUAUUUUUAUUUUAAAAUAUUUUUUUAACAACGAUAUAUAAAAUUCUAAAUUAAGUAAAUUUAAUCGUGGAUUAUCAAUUAUUAGACAGAUUCCUCUAAAUGAACUAAAAUACCGCCAAAUUAUUUAAGUUUCAAUAAAUAAUUAUCUACUAUUUUAGUACUCAUAAAUUAAAUUCUA